This 27-nucleotide non-coding RNA is filed under the name Mus musculus (house mouse). Lineage: Eukaryota; Metazoa; Chordata; Mammalia; Rodentia; Muridae. The record is from RNAcentral.
UGAUAAUCAUUUUUAGGGCAAGGCUGU